This 450-nucleotide ribosomal RNA is filed under the name Granulicatella elegans. RNAcentral's name for it is "bacterial SSU rRNA". It matches the Rfam family "Bacterial small subunit ribosomal RNA", at positions 28 to 465 of the family's 1533-position model. The record is from RNAcentral. Lineage: Bacteria; Bacillati; Bacillota; Bacilli; Lactobacillales; Carnobacteriaceae.
GACGAACGCUGGCGGCGUGCCUAAUACAUGCAAGUCGAACGAGAGCGACCGGUGCUUGCAUUGGUCAAUCUAGUGGCGAACGGGUGAGUAACACGUGGGUAACCUCCCAUCAGAGGGGGAUAACAUUCGGAAACGGAUGCUAAAACCGCAUAGGUUCUACAGUCGCAUGACUGAAGAAGGAAAAGAGGCUUCGGCUUCUGCUGAUGGAUGGACCCGCGGUGCAUUAGCUAGUUGGUGAGGUAACGGCUCACCAAGGCCGUGAUGCAUAGCCGACCUGAGAGGGUGAUCGGCCACAUUGGGACUGAGACACGGCCCAAACUCCUACGGGAGGCAGCAGUAGGGAAUCUUCCGCAAUGGACGCAAGUCUGACGGAGCAACGCCGCGUGAGUGAAGAAGGAUUUCGGUUCGUAAAACUCUGUUGUUAGAGAAGAACAGCGCAUAGAGUAACUG